Molecule: ribosomal RNA, 454 nt
Filed under: uncultured bacterium
Lineage: Bacteria
Description: bacterial SSU rRNA
Rfam family: Bacterial small subunit ribosomal RNA
Source: RNAcentral
UACGGAAGGCAGCAGUGGGGAAUAUUGCACAAUGGGCGCAAGCCUGAUGCAGCCAUGCCGCGUGUAUGAAGAAGGCCUUCGGGUUGUAAAGUACUUUCAGCGGGGAGGAAGGCGGUGGAGUUAAUAGCUUCACCGAUUGACGUUACCCGCAGAAGAAGCACCGGCUAACUCCGUGCCAGCAGCCGCGGUAAUACGGAGGGUGCAAGCGUUAAUCGGAAUUACUGGGCGUAAAGCGCACGCAGGCGGUCUGUCAAGUCGGAUGUGAAAUCCCCGGGCUUAACCUGGGAACUGCAUUCGAAACUGGCAGGCUAGAGUCUUGUAGAGGGGGUAGAAUUCCAGGUGUAGCGGUGAAAUGCGUAGAGAUCUGGAGGAAUACCGGUGGCGAAGGCGGCCCCUGGGACAAAGCUGACGCUCAGGUGCGAAAGCGUGGGGAGCAAACGAGGGAUUAGGAUAC